This 736-nucleotide long non-coding RNA is filed under the name Sander lucioperca (pikeperch). RNAcentral describes it as "lncRNA (ENSSLUG00000002367.1)". Lineage: Eukaryota; Metazoa; Chordata; Actinopteri; Perciformes; Percidae. The record is from RNAcentral.
AACAAGUCCGUUUAUUAGCUGUUCUGGAGCGAUGAUAUCAGUGUUAUUGACUGUUGCAGAUAUUAAUGAAUGUGAAGAACAAACUUCUCUCUGCCCACAAAACCUGGAGUGUCUCAACAUACUAGGUUCAUUUACUUGCUCAGAAACCUCCUCGCUGUCUGUGGUGUCUGUCGUCACUGCAGUGAUGGUAGUGAUCGGUGGUGUGGCCGCGCUGCUGAUGAUCAUGUUCUGUUAUCGAAGAUAUUUUCCCAAGAAAGAAGAGUUAGUCAACGCUGGAUGUUGCCAGGGGAAAAGUUAAAAAGAAUUUGGUCAAAUUUUGUUCUAAUGUUCCUCUACAGAAUGUUAAAUGAAAAAUAUCUAACGGUCUUAAUUAUUUUAAGUUGCAAAUAUAUUGAUGUGUGGACUUUCUGUCUAUAGUAGUAGAAUAUUUUGUCUUGUUAAUUAAUAAUAGCCAUAUAGCACAAAAGCUGGACAAACGUUUUACAUUAAUAAGUAUCCCUGUUGUUGACCAUUAAACAUGACAUGACCUGCUCACAUGAUCACGUUUUUCCUCUGACUACACAUUAUGUGACUGACCAGUCCGACGGUGCUCAUUCAAUACCUACAACUCAAACUAUUGAUUAAGGUGUGGCCGGGUUAGCUCAGUUGGUAGAGCAGGCGCACAUAUAUAGAGGUUUACUCCUCGACGCAGCAGCCGCGGGUUCGACUCCGGCCUGCGGCUCUUUGCUGCAUGUCA